This 381-nucleotide long non-coding RNA is filed under the name Cucumis sativus (cucumber). RNAcentral's name for it is "long non-coding RNA (CSAT_LNC001254)". The record is from RNAcentral. Lineage: Eukaryota; Viridiplantae; Streptophyta; Magnoliopsida; Cucurbitales; Cucurbitaceae.
AUGAGCAUGUGCAAGUAGUUGCAAACAGGCAAAUCGUCUCCAUAAUAGUUCAUAGUAGUUUCGAAAGCAAUGACAUAAAUUGUUCUGAAAAUGAUCUCUUCAAUAUGUUCAAAAUUCUGUCCGCCAAAACCUGAUCCUGAUAUAGUUGUUACUCACUUGAAUUUCCAUUUUAGCUGCAUUUAACAGUAACAAGCACAACACUUGAAUUUCCAUUUUAGCUGCAUUUAACAGUAACAAGCACAACACUUGAAUUUCCAUUUUAGCUGCAUUUAACAGUAACAAGCACAACAAUUCCAGUUUAUUGAUAUUGCGUGAAUAUGUAUUUAUGUCAAAGGGAUAAGUUGCUAUUCUCCCAUUCAGAUUCGAUUUAGGGGAGGGAGG